GAGUUCCAUAUAAAAAUUGUAAACUUCCAAAUCAUGAAGAGACAAAAAAUUAAAAGAGAGAUGAAAUGUCAACAUUUUAGCCAUAGAAAUCUCUUGAUACCUCUUCACUUUGAUGAACAAAAUGAAGAAAUCAAGUGCAUGGCUGUGAGAAACUCAUUGCUAGUGAACCAUCUCAUGGUUGCCUUUUAUGCAAAUAUUUCCUUAAUUUUAAUUUUUAUGUGGCUUAAAUUUUGGUAUGUCA
This 241-nucleotide unclassified non-coding RNA is filed under the name Hevea brasiliensis (rubber tree). The record is from RNAcentral. Lineage: Eukaryota; Viridiplantae; Streptophyta; Magnoliopsida; Malpighiales; Euphorbiaceae.